AUGAACGCUAGCGGCAGGCCUAACACAUGCAAGUCGAGGGGCAGCGAGAUGUAGCAAUACAUUGUCGGCGACCGGCGCACGGGUGCGUAACGCGUAUGCGACCUACCUAUAACGAGGGGAUAACCCAGAGAAAUUUGGACUAAUACCCCAUAUUAUUAUUGAGCUGCAUGGUUUGAUAAUGAAAGACUUUGGUUGGUUAUAGAUGGGCAUGCGUGACAUUAGCUAGUUGGUAAGGUAACGGCUUACCAAGGCGACGAUGUCUAGGGGAACUGAGAGGUUAAUCCCCCACACUGGUACUGAGACACGGACCAGACUCCUACGGGAGGCAGCAGUGAGGAAUAUUGGUCAAUGGUCGGAAGACUGAACCAGCCAUGCCGCGUGAAGGAAGAAUGUCCUAUGGAUUGUAAACUUCUUUUGUAAGGGAGCAAUAAGUUCCAUGCGUGGGAUGAUGAGAGUACCUUACGAAUAAGCAUCGGCUAACUCCGUG
Molecule: ribosomal RNA, 487 nt
Filed under: uncultured bacterium
Lineage: Bacteria
Description: bacterial SSU rRNA
Rfam family: Bacterial small subunit ribosomal RNA
Source: RNAcentral